Molecule: ribosomal RNA, 393 nt
Filed under: uncultured bacterium
Lineage: Bacteria
Description: partial 16S ribosomal RNA
Rfam family: Bacterial small subunit ribosomal RNA
Source: RNAcentral
AUACGGAGGAUGCAAGCGUUAUCCGGAUUUAUUGGGUUUAAAGGGUGCGUAGGCUGUGCAGCAAGUCAGAGGUGAAAGCCCGGCGCCUAACGCCGGAACUGCCUUUGAUACUGUUGCGCUGGAAUACGGAUGCCGUGGGAGGAAUGAGUAGUGUAGCGGUGAAAUGCAUAGAUAUUACUCAGAACACCGAUUGCGAAGGCAUCUCACGAAUCCGUCAUUGACGCUGAGGCACGAAAGCGUGGGGAUCGAACAGGAUUAGAUACCCUGGUAGUCCACGCAGUAAACGAUGAUGACUAACCGUCGGCGAUACACAGUCGGUGGCCAAGCGAAAGCGAUAAGUCAUCCACCUGGGGAGUACGUUCGCAAGAAUGAAACUCAAAGGAAUUGACGGGG